AUUGAACGCUGGCGGCAUGCCUUACACAUGCAAGUCGAACGGCAGCACGGGAGCAAUCCUGGUGGCGAGUGGCGAACGGGUGAGUAAUAUAUCGGAACGUGCCCAGUCGUGGGGGAUAACGUAGCGAAAGCUACGCUAAUACCGCAUACGAUCUACGGAUGAAAGCGGGGGAUCGCAAGACCUCGCGCGAUUGGAGCGGCCGAUAUCAGAUUAGGUAGGUGGUGGGGUAAAGGCUCACCAAGCCGACGAUCUGUAGCCGGUUUGAGAGGACGACCAGCCACACUGGGACUGAGACACGGCCCAGACUCCUACGGGAGGCAGCAGUGGGGAAUUUUGGACAAUGGGCGCAAGCCUGAUCCAGCAAUGCCGCGUGCAGGAUGAAGGCCUUCGGGUUGUAAACUGCUUUUGUACGGAACGAAACGGCGAGUUCUAAUACAGUUUGCUAAUGACGGUACCGUAAGAAUAAGCACCGGCUAACUACGUGCCAGCCGCCGCCGUAA
RNAcentral lists this ribosomal RNA (500 nucleotides) under uncultured bacterium. Its description in RNAcentral is "partial 16S ribosomal RNA". It matches the Rfam family "Bacterial small subunit ribosomal RNA", at positions 30 to 523 of the family's 1533-position model. The record is from RNAcentral.